RNAcentral lists this ribosomal RNA (253 nucleotides) under uncultured bacterium. Its description in RNAcentral is "partial 16S ribosomal RNA". It matches the Rfam family "Bacterial small subunit ribosomal RNA", at positions 524 to 776 of the family's 1533-position model. The record is from RNAcentral.
UACGUAGGUGGCAAGCGUUGUCCGGAUUUACUGGGCGUAAAGAGCGCGCAGGCGGUCGGAUCAGUCGGAUGUGAAAGCCCCCGGCUCAACUGGGGAGGGUCAUUCGAUACUGUCCGACUCGAAGGCAGGAGAGGGAAGCGGAAUUCCCGGUGUAGUGGUGAAAUGCGUAGAUAUCGGGAGGAACAUCAGUGGCGAAGGCGGCUUUCUGGCCUGUUCUUGACGCUGAGGCGCGAAAGCUAGGGGAGCGAACGGG